ACGUUCGGGUAAUCGCUGCGAUGAGCGUUUCGCGAAUCGUUGAGGAAAGUCCAUGCUCGCACGAGCUGCGAUGCUCGUAGUGUUCGUGCCUAGUGAAUUCAUAAGCUAGGGCAGCUGAGUCUAGCAUUCAGUUGACGGCCGGGAAAAUACCUAAGUCCCAUCUGGAUAUGGUAUGAAUACCUAUAAAAGUGCCACAGUGACGUAGCCUUUCUGGAAACAGAAAGGGUGGAACGGGUAAACCCCACGAGCGAGAAACCCAAAUUAUGGUAGGGGCGUUUUCUCUGAGGAAUUGAACAAGGAGAAAGACAGGUUCUUUCUGAAUCUGUAGAUAGAUGAUUACCACCUAAGUACGAGACCUAAUAGUCGCUUGCAGUACUAUGGUACAGAACAUGGCUUACAGAA
This 402-nucleotide RNase P RNA is filed under the name Neobacillus bataviensis. Its description in RNAcentral is "RNase P RNA component class B". It matches the Rfam family "Bacterial RNase P class B". Rfam says of the family: Ribonuclease P (RNase P) is a ubiquitous endoribonuclease, found in archaea, bacteria and eukarya as well as chloroplasts and mitochondria. Its best characterised activity is the generation of mature 5'-ends of tRNAs by cleaving the 5'-leader elements of precursor-tRNAs. Lineage: Bacteria; Bacillati; Bacillota; Bacilli; Caryophanales; Bacillaceae. The record is from RNAcentral. RNAcentral also lists the same sequence under 2 other names.